CCUACGGGGGGCAGCAGUGGGGGAUAUUGCACAAUGGGGGAAACCCUGAUGCAGCGACGCCGCGUGGGUGAAGAAGGGCCUCGGGGCGGAAAGCCCUGUCAGCAGGGAAGAAAAUGACGGUACCUGAAGAAGAAGCCACGGCUAACUACGUGCCAGCAGCCGCGGGAAGACGUAGGGGGCAAGCGUUAUCCGGAUUUACUGGGCGUAAAGGGGGCGUAGGCGGGGAUGCAAGCCAGGAGUGAAAGCCCGGGGCCCAACCCCGGGACUGCACUUGAAACUGCGUGGCUAGAGUGCAGGAGGGGCAGGCGGAAUGCCUGGUGUAGCGGUGAAAUGCGUAGAUAUCAGGAGGAACACCGGUGGCGAAGGCGGCCUUCUGGACUGCAACUGACGUUGAGGCCCGAAAGCGUGGGGAGCAAACAGGAUUAGAUACCCCAGUAGUC
RNAcentral lists this ribosomal RNA (440 nucleotides) under uncultured bacterium. RNAcentral's name for it is "partial 16S ribosomal RNA". It matches the Rfam family "Bacterial small subunit ribosomal RNA", at positions 338 to 795 of the family's 1533-position model. The record is from RNAcentral.